RNAcentral lists this small nuclear RNA (24 nucleotides) under Arabidopsis thaliana (thale cress). Its description in RNAcentral is "snRNA_11302". The record is from RNAcentral. Lineage: Eukaryota; Viridiplantae; Streptophyta; Magnoliopsida; Brassicales; Brassicaceae.
UCCGUCCAAGGCUAAAUACGGGCG